GAUGAACGCCGGCGGCGUGCCUAAUACAUGCAAGUCGAGCGAACGGACGAGAAGCUUGCUUUUCUGAUGUUAGCGGCGGACGGGUGAGUAACACGUGGAUAACCUACCUAUAAGACUGGGAUAACUUCGGGAAACCGGAGCUAAUACCGGAUAAUAUUUUGAACCGCAUGGUUCAAAAGUGAAAGACGGUCUUGCUGUCACUUAUAGAUGGAUCCGCGCUGCAUUAGCUAGUUGGUAAGGUAACGGCUUACCAAGGCAACGAUGCAUAGCCGACCUGAGAGGGUGAUCGGCCACACUGGAACUGAGACACGGUCCAGACUCCUACGGGAGGCAGCAGUAGGGAAUCUUCCGCAAUGGGCGAAAGCCUGACGGAGCAACGCCGCGUGAGUGAUGAAGGUCUUCGGAUCGUAAAACUCUGUUAUUAGGGAAGAACAUAUGUGUAAGUAACUGUGCACAUCUUGACGGUACCUAAUCAGAAAGCCACGGCUAACUACGCG
Molecule: ribosomal RNA, 497 nt
Filed under: uncultured bacterium
Lineage: Bacteria
Description: partial 16S ribosomal RNA
Rfam family: Bacterial small subunit ribosomal RNA
Source: RNAcentral